RNAcentral lists this ribosomal RNA (249 nucleotides) under uncultured bacterium. RNAcentral's name for it is "partial 16S ribosomal RNA". It matches the Rfam family "Bacterial small subunit ribosomal RNA", at positions 524 to 776 of the family's 1533-position model. The record is from RNAcentral.
UACGGGGGAGCAAGCGUUGUUCGGAUUACUGGCGUAAAGGGCGCGUAGGCGGUCGUGACAAGUCACUUGUGAAUCUCCGGGCUUAACUCGGAACGGUCAAGUGAUACUGUCGGACUAGAGUACAGAAGGGGCAACUGGAAUUCUCGGUGUAGCGGUGAAAUGCGUAGAUAUCGAGAGGAACACCUGCGGCGAAGGCGGUGCUGGGCUGAUGACUGACGCUGAGGCGCGAAAGCCAGGGAGGCGAACGGG